AGCGAACGCUGGCGGCAGGCUUAACACAUGCAAGUCGAGCGGGCAUCCUUGUGGUGUCAGCGGCAGACGGGUGAGUAACGCGUGGGAACGUGCCCUUCGUUUCGGAAUAACUCAGGGAAACUUGAGUUAAUACCGGAUACGUGCGAGAGCAGAAAGGUUUAUCUGCCGAAGGAUCGGCCCGCGUCUGAUUAGUUAGUUGGUGAGGUUACGGCUCACCAAGGCGACGAUCAGUAGCUGGUCUGAGAGGAUGAUCAGCCACACUGGGACUGAGACACGGCCCAGACUCCUACGGGAGGCAGCAGUGGGGAAUAUUGGACGAUGGGGGCAACCCUGAUCCAGCCAUGCCGCGUAAGUGAUGACGGCCGUAGGGUUGUAAAGCUCUUUUCUCCGGGACGAUAAUGACGGUACCGGAUGAAUAAGCCCCGGCUAACUUCGUG
This 437-nucleotide ribosomal RNA is filed under the name uncultured bacterium. Its description in RNAcentral is "partial 16S ribosomal RNA". It matches the Rfam family "Bacterial small subunit ribosomal RNA", at positions 29 to 507 of the family's 1533-position model. The record is from RNAcentral.